Molecule: ribosomal RNA, 1373 nt
Filed under: uncultured fungus
Lineage: Eukaryota; Fungi
Description: eukaryotic LSU rRNA
Rfam family: Eukaryotic large subunit ribosomal RNA (bases 704-1373)
Source: RNAcentral
AAGUCGUAACAAGGUUUCCGUAGGUGAACCUGCGGAAGGAUCAUUAUCGAAUAUAAACUUGGGUAGAUUGUUGCUGGCUUUUCUUCGAGGAGCAUGUGCACGUUUAUCCUCUUUAUUUUUCCACCUGUGCACCUUUUGUAGGCUUGGAUUAUAGUGGUUCUAACGUUGUCUUUCAAAGGCAUAAGAAUUUUUUGGGACUGCUGUGUUUAAACGCAUGUUUAUCGGCUUUCCCUUUUAUUUUCCAAGUCUAUGUUUUUCAUAUACACUCGAGAAAUAUAAUAGAAUGCUGUACUUUUAGGUCAUUCGUACCUAUAAUAAAAUCAGUACAACUUUCAGCAACGGAUCUCUUGGCUCUCGCAUCGAUGAAGAACGCAGCGAAAUGCGAUAAGUAAUGUGAAUUGCAGAAUUCAGUGAAUCAUCGAAUCUUUGAACGCAUCUUGCGCUCCUUGGUAUUCCAAGGAGCAUGCCUGUUUGAGUAUCAUUAAAUUAUCAACUGUACCAAAUUGGUUACAGAUUGGAUGUGGGGGGAANUUUGCAGGCUUUUUUGAUUUCUCUUGAAAGUCUGCUCCNCUGAAAUGNAUUAGCAGUGCCUUUGUUGGUUCCUUAGGUGNGAUAAUUUAUCUACAUCUUUACAUGGNACCUUCAUUUGAAAGGUUGUAUUGCUUCUAAUUGUCUAUGGACAAAAUGAAAUGUAUAACNAACUUGAUCUCAAAUCAGGCAGGACUACCCGCUGAACUUAAGCAUAUCAAUAAGCGGAGNNAAAGAAACUAACAAGGAUUNCCCUAGUAACUGCGAGUGAAGCGGGAAAAGCUCAAAUUUAAANUCUGACGGUUGUUUUGGCUGUCCGAGUUGUAAUCUAGAGAAGUGUUACCCGCGCUGGACCGUGUACAAGUCUCCUGGAAUGGAGCAUCAUAGAGGGUGAGAAUCCCGUCUUUGACAUGGACUACCAGGGCUUUGUGGUGCGCUCUCAAAGAGUCGAGUUGUUUGGGAAUGCAGCUCAAAAUGGGUGGUAAAUGUCAUCUAAAGCUAAAUAUUGGCGAGAGACCGAUAGCGAACAAGUACCGUGAGGGAAAGAUGAAAAGAACUUUGGAAAGAGAGUUAAACAGUACGUGAAAUUGCUGAAAGGGAAACGCUUGAAGUCAGUCGCAUCGACUGGAAAUCAACCUUUGCUUUUGCUUGGUGUAUUUUCUGGCUUGAUGGGUCAGCAUCAAUUUUGAUCGCUGGAUAAAGGCUUGGGGAAUGUGGCAUCUUAGGAUGUGUUAUAGCCCUGGGUUGCAUACAGCGGUUGGGAUUGAGGAACUCAGCACGCCGCAAGGACGGGUUUCGACCACGUUUACGUGCUUAGGAUGCUGGCAUAAUGGCUUUAAUCGACC